CGAGAGGAGGUUUACUUUCUCAAGCGAGUGGCGAACGGGUGAGUAACGCGUGAGGAACCUGCCUCAAAGAGGGGGACAACAGUUGGAAACGACUGCUAAUACCGCAUAAGCCCACGACCCGGCAUCGGGUAGAGGGAAAAGGAGCAAUCCGCUUUGAGAUGGCCUCGCGUCCGAUUAGCUAGUUGGUGAGGUAAUGGCCCACCAAGGCGACGAUCGGUAGCCGGACUGAGAGGUUGAACGGCCACAUUGGGACUGAGACACGGCCCAGACUCCUACGGGAGGCAGCAGUGGGGAAUAUUGCACAAUGGGGGAAACCCUGAUGCAGCGACGCCGCGUGGAGGAAGAAGGUCUUCGGAUUGUAAACUCCUGUUGUUGAGGAAGAUAAUGACGGUACUCAACAAGGAAGUGACGGCUAACUACGUGCCAGCAGCCGCGGUAAAACGUAGGUCACAAGCGUUGUCCGGAAUUACUGGGUGUAAAGGGAGCGCAGGCGGGAAGACAAGUUGGAAGUGAAAUCCAUGGGCUCAACCCAUGAACUGCUUUCAAAACUGUUUUUCUUGAGUAGUGCAGAGGUAGGCGGAAUUCCCGGUGUAGCGGUGGAAUGCGUAGAUAUCGGGAGGAACACCAGUGGCGAAGGCGGCCUACUGGGCACCAACUGACGCUGAGGCUCGAAAGUGUGGGUAGCAAACAGG
This 692-nucleotide ribosomal RNA is filed under the name uncultured Lachnospiraceae bacterium. Its description in RNAcentral is "bacterial SSU rRNA". It matches the Rfam family "Bacterial small subunit ribosomal RNA", at positions 69 to 776 of the family's 1533-position model. Lineage: Bacteria; Bacillati; Bacillota; Clostridia; Lachnospirales; Lachnospiraceae. The record is from RNAcentral.